GUUUUUAACCAGGGAUCUGGUUCUACACUGUGUUCACUUGGUGAAAGUCAAGUUGUGUUCCAUUUUGUGUGCUCAUUUUGUACUUCAAAAAAAAAAAAAAACUACAGAUCGAUUACAAGAUGAACAGAAAAUGGAAGAAUGAAGGAGAAAGAAAAGAGAAAAUUUUGAUCCAGUUCAGAAGCAAACAGAAAUCUUUACAAUGUCUAAGUACGGUUACAGGAGUCAGUGCAAAGAAAUGAAGAUAAGAGCUCACGCAGGGAAAUAAGGAAGGCUUCCCGGAGAGCUGGACUUUGAUCGGCUUCCUGGAGAAGGAAUCUGGUUUCACCACGUGAAGAGUCCUGGACCAUUAAUGCCUGGACACUUGGCUGAGCACAGUGCAGUGGACAGAGGUCAGCUUCAGACUGAGACGGAGGAGGCCGCCUCUGGAUGGGGAAGCAACAACUUCAGGAGGACUGGGCCUGGGGUGAGAGGGGCCGCCAGCCAGGACACACAGAGAAGGGGGUUAUCUGCGUGCAGAUGCAUCCGGGUUCACUGACAUCUGUCCUUCAACUGUCCCUCUUACAGAAAAAUGACUAUGAAAAUGCCUAUUGUUCUCCCUUUAGAAGGAGGUACAUAGCAAAAGAUUAACUCAGCACAUUCCAGACAUGGGGGUCAUGUUUGAUGUCAUUUACAUGAAUCCUUAGAAAUACUUUUAUUUUUGAAUAAACAUACAUGUGUUGGAACUAUCUCCAAUGUAUUUUACCAGCAAUUUCCACCUCCCUGAAUUCAUUCAAUGUGAAAUAGGUUACCCAGGGUCUAGAACAGAUAGUGUUUGGGGAACUUGGGUGUCCUCGAAGCAUCUGUGCUGCUCUUUGCUUCAUAGUAUUCAGCAGUCCCAGUGCGGCACAUGCUGCUCAUCCUAAAGAUACAGCGUAUGUUGUUGUGUGUAUCUAUGUAUGUAUACGUGUGCAUGUGUGGAUGUGUGCAUGUCUGUACACCUAUGUGUAGGAACACAUGUGCAUAUGCAUUUGUGUGUCUGUGCCUAUGUGUUUAUGCAUCUAGAUGCUUUACCAUUCACCCUCCAGUGCCCACCCCACUGAAGCCCCCAUUCCCUGCAGUAGACAUGGAAGCGGGGUCUGUGCUGCCCCUGGCAAAAUCUCUGCACUGGACCCUUCUCCAGCAGAAGAGCACCUGCUGCUGCUGCGCUGGUUGUCAGGGAUUCUCCACCUCUUAUUCCUGCUCUUUGGGUUGCCCCAGGGAGGCUUGGGAGCUGUCACACUGUGGUGCAGUUCUGUUGUUUUCUGGUGUAACAUGCCCUAAGCAUUUUAUGUUCAAAGAGAGAAGAGAGAAAUCAAUUCCAAUUUUAGCAAGGCAUUUGUGAAUAAUAGCAUUUGAAGAAGGCUGAGAAUUCUAAGUAUUUAAGUUCACUGUCUCAUAAUUGACUAAAUCUAAUAACUCAUUUUAAAGGUGAAAAAACCAAGAGCAAAGGACCAGAAGUGGCUUGUUCAAGGCUCUAUAUGCCCAGCAUCUUUCUUCAGGACCAGGAUGCUAUGUUUUCUUUCAGGCUCCACAAAAGCUCACUCUGCAGAUUUGGAAAAGUCCCUUCAUGUGCUGCUGGAUAAUCUCUAUGUUUCCCCUGAGAUGUGGCCUCUGCCCUGUGUCCUGCUAUGUGCCUGACAAGCUGACUCUGGGGACCACUUUCUUUGUCUCUUGUCUUCUAGUCAGUGCUAGAGCAAGACCAGGGGUACCCCACGUACCCCUGCUGAAGUUCAGAUUCCCCAGCAAUCAGUCCUGGGGUCUGGUCAGUGCAGUGCAUCCUGGGUCUCGGGCACCAAGUCACACUGCCCUGUCCUUCCUGCUGCCCAUCACUGUCAGCCCCCUCUGCUGUUUCUCUCACCUGUGCACACGUCUGUGUACAGCUAAAUUAUCAGAGCAGACAGGGAGCUCCCUUCCAGGUCAGAGAUGUAUUCAGGUUCUCUUUUUUUGAACAUGGACAUUAAAAACUGUCUUCUUGGGGGAAUUGAUGAGGUUCAAAUAAGACUAUGGAUAUAAAUGUGCUAUGUCUGGCCCAGAUAAAGGCUUGUUUUAACCAGUGAUCGUACCAGGCCCUGGGGUCCAACUGUGGCUUAAGGCACUGACUGGUUUUCCUGUGGACUUCUUACAGAGGGACCCAACCACCCUCUUUAUCUCCUGGGUCAGUCAGUUUGAUGACAUCGGGCAGACAGAAGGUUGCAAUUUCUUUUCCUUCAGAAGUUAGUGAAAUUGCAAACUGCACCCUUGACCUAGAUACAAAGAAGUGAGAGGUCAGUCUUCCUGAGUAGCUGCAGGCAUUGAUCUGCCUGUCUCUCGGGUCUCUGCCUGUUACUUGAAAGCCAAACCAGGGUGACUCAUGGUGUUCUAAUGCAGCAAAGAAGGGAAACGAGUUCUCAGCAGGUGCUGUCACCAGCCAUGCUCUACUCAGAGCUGAGUACCUGCAUCAGUUUAAGAGAAAAGGCAAAUGGAAGCACACUGCUAAACGAAUCUUCUUCCCCCUUCUCUGCCAAGCCUCCAAUCUGGCUCUCAUCUAUCUCCUGUCCAGUAGUCGCCUCAGCCUUGAAGGACAUCUCUCAGUCCUCGAAUGCAGGCCUAUCCAAUUCCAUGAAAUCCUGUGAGCGUCUAUGGCUGUCUGCAGCACCCAGGUGUUUAAAUGCAGGAAGACAAAAAGUGAUCAAGACAUGCUGUUAUUUCAUCUGUGCCAAUAAAUACCAUUGUGAU
This is a long non-coding RNA of Cavia porcellus (domestic guinea pig), 2733 nucleotides long. RefSeq lists it as uncharacterized. The record is from RefSeq and is a predicted model, not a curated record. The transcript has 3 exons. Lineage: Eukaryota; Metazoa; Chordata; Mammalia; Rodentia; Caviidae.